This 458-nucleotide ribosomal RNA is filed under the name uncultured Actinomycetes bacterium. Its description in RNAcentral is "bacterial SSU rRNA". It matches the Rfam family "Bacterial small subunit ribosomal RNA", at positions 923 to 1382 of the family's 1533-position model. The record is from RNAcentral. Lineage: Bacteria; Bacillati; Actinomycetota; Actinomycetes.
GCACAAGCGGCGGAGCAUGUGGCUUAAUUCAAUGCAACGCGAGGAACCUUACCAGGGCUUGACAUGUAGGGAAAAGCCAUGGAAACAUGGUGUGCCGAAAGGCGUCCUGCACAGGUGGUGCAUGGCUGUCGUCAGCUCGUGUCGUGAGAUGUUGGGUUAAGUCCCGCAACGAGCGCAACCCUCAUCCUAUGUUGCCAGCAUUAAGUUGGGGACUCAUAGGAAACUGCCUCGGUUAACGGGGAGGAAGGUGGGGAUGACGUCAAGUCAUCAUGCCCUUUAUGUCCUGGGCUGCACACGUGCUACAAUGGCCGGUACAAUAGGCUGCGAAGGGGCAACCCGGAGCGAAUCCAUUAAAACCGGUCCCAGUUCGGAUUGAAGGCUGUAACUCGCCUUCAUGAAGUUGGAGUCGCUAGUAAUCGCGGAUCAGCAACGCCGCGGUGAAUACGUUCCCGGGCCUU